Molecule: long non-coding RNA, 365 nt
Organism: Acanthopagrus latus (yellowfin seabream)
Lineage: Eukaryota; Metazoa; Chordata; Actinopteri; Spariformes; Sparidae
Exons: 2
Source: RefSeq, a predicted model, not a curated record
GGCUGUAUCUGGCAGGACAAGUGAAGAAAUCUGUCAAGCGGUGUGACGAACCAGCUCCUCUGAUUCAAACCCCCGCUCUGUCCCCAAAGUGUCUAACAAAUCGGGAAAAAAAAAAAAAAAAAAAGUAGUCUGGAUUUUGUCCGCUGCGUGAACGAGGGAUGGAGAACAAAUCGAGAGAGGUGAAUGAGCAAAGUGGGAGAUCCUGGGAGGAGCGACGCCGCCUCAGUCAUAUAAACCUAAAGGCCAAACUGAGACAAGAUGUGACAAGCUCCUGAACUCUUGCCAUUCAGCGCUUCACCCUCUCUCUUCUCUCUCUCUCUCUUUUUGCUUCCGCUCUCCUUUGGAGAAAAAAAAAAAAAAAAAAA